CCUACGGGUGGCAGCAGUGAGGAAUAUUGGUCAAUGGACGAGAGUCUGAACCAGCCAAGUAGCGUGAAGGAUGACUGCCCUAUGGGUUGUAAACUUCUUUUAUAUGGGAAUAAAAUGUUCCACGUGUGGGUUUUUGUAUGUACCAUAUGAAUAAGGAUCGGCUAACUCCGUGCCAGCAGCCGCGGUAAUACGGAGGAUCCGAGCGUUAUCCGGAUUUAUUGGGUUUAAAGGGAGCGUAGGUGGAUUGUUAAGUCAGUUGUGAAAGUUUGCGGCUCAACCGUAAAAUUGCAGUUGAAACUGGCAGUCUUGAGUACAGUAGAGGUGUGCGGAAUGCGUGGUGUAGCGGUGAAAUGCUUAGAUAUCGCGAAGAACUCCGAUUGCGAAGGCAGCUCACUGGACUGCAACUGACACUGAGGCUCGAAAGUGUGGGUAUCAAACAGGAUUAGAUACCCGAGUAGUC
Molecule: ribosomal RNA, 460 nt
Filed under: uncultured bacterium
Lineage: Bacteria
Description: partial 16S ribosomal RNA
Rfam family: Bacterial small subunit ribosomal RNA
Source: RNAcentral